GUAGACCUAACGAGGAUUGCAGACAACCGUUUGGACCACUGGGAAUUAACACAGAAAAGGUUCCAAGUCAUUUGGUCUCGGUGGUAUCCAGAGUACCUUCAGCAGCUGCGGUCACGUGCUAUCAAAGCAUGUAAUCCACCUGUUUCCAUCGAAGAAGGACGGAUAGUCAUCAUCAAGGAGGACAAUGUUCACUCAGCUAAAUGGCCUCUUAUCUCUUAAAUUACCAAGCUUCAUCCCGGAAAGGAUGGUGUAGUUCGGGUGGUCACACUGAGGACUGCAUCAGCCAAGGAACUCGUUCGAGCUGUAUCCAAAAUUGGAGUGAGCGAUACCGUCAGCGAAGAAGAUUGCACCUUCACUUGUCUGAAGUUUCACGCAAAGAAGGAGGUUUUACGAAGAAAGCUGCCAGUGUAUCCGGUAUUUCAUCCACCUCGAGUGCAGCCGCAGAAGGCAUGAGCUGGAGAAAGCCGAAAAGGAAUCCGAAAUCGAACGGAAGAAACUACACAUGGAAAAGCAGUUACCACGCCACAUUCCGCCAACGAGAGGGAGAAAUAGACGAUGAUGAGAACAAGUCUAUAGCUUCCGGACCGCAACAAAGCAGCAAGGGAAAAAGGUGGAGCAAUGGCAGCAGGACCAGUGUGAAGUUCCCAUUCACGAUCCGAUGAAUCCAAUGCCUAGUGAGAUCGAGGUUAACGUUAAUACGAUAAGUAUCGAACAUGAGAUAGGUGGUGUAUCGAAAACGAUAAAUGCGCUGGGCGCAGUAACGAUUAGUGAAGCUAGUAUCCUAAAACCAGUUAUUCAGAAUCAGAGUUUAGAAACAAAUAAUGCCAAUGCGCCUCAAGAGAACUGCCAGGUAGUCAGGAACUAUGAACGCUCAAUGACAAAUGAGCCAAGAGUAAAUAGGUAUAGAGUAGUAGAUCAAAUUCCCGAUUGUAGUGCUCGUUGGUUUCCAACAUUAUGCUCUGCGCCAGAAGCUUGUCGAGAAAUUCCAAGCGUUGCGAAUUUUGAAUGCAAUCAGAUUCCGAUGAAUAACGUAAGACCACAUAACGACGAAUUGAUGAAUGAAGCCCAGAGCAAUGUGAACACUUUUCCGUUGCCUGCGCGAGAAGGAAAUUUAUCUGCCGGUAGACCGAUGUUGUAUGAUAGUGCCUUUGUUCCGUCAGCACAACAGCUCGCUGCGAGACACAUAGUGGCGAAAGAUUUGCCUUAUUUUAGUGGCAAGUGUCAACGUUAGUGUGGGCAGCUGCCGACGUAACCUUAUCGAUUGAAUCGAAGCCGUCACUACAUUCAGGCAGGGCCGAUAGAGGCAAAAAAUCGUUCUUCGGUGCACAUGCUGCUGAAAUAAAUUUAGAAAAAGGGGCGUUAGCGGUGAUCUCAUUCGUUCAUGUUUUGUUUGUAAAAACAUCAAUCAUCGUGUUAAAGACUGUACAGAUUUUGCUAAUAUGAGUCAGCAAGAACAUUGGAAGACGGUGCAACUAAAUAAGCUCUGUCGCAAUUGUCUAGGGGCUCAUGGACGGCGGCCAUGCAAACUGCAACGAUCGUGUCUACAGGAUGGGUGCCGGGCGAAACAUCAUCCACUGCUACAUAGACAUCAACAGGCUGACUAUCGAAUUAUUUCGCUGGGAAUAGAUUUUCUCGAGGAGUGUGAGGUUACAAACAAAUCUUUUAGCGACUCGUUAACAAAAUAACCGGCUGAUUAUUCGCCAGUGAGCGCUCAAAAGACGUCCGAAGAUCCUCAACACUCCCAGUCAUCGAUCAUCGAAUAACUACGAUCCAGGUAGAGCAACCCAAAUGGGGGAACUUGCUCGAAGCGCACCUGCGUUCGAUCUACCUGGUCUGUUUUCUCUCUAUUCUCGGAUGACUUGUGACAACUACUCCAAACAUCAUUCCUGGCAAGACUACUACACCAACUGUCCAUCGCAUCGCAAUCUUGGAUUUGAAACUAGCCUAAAAUACGUUCUUAGUUGAAUCAUCUGGCAUGAUUCAAGGUGGCCGGAAUGAUCAGAAUCGAAAUAAAAUAAAAUCUAAAAUCUUUGUCACACACUCACAUAACACUCACGCGACGGUAUGACAAAAUCGUCAUCAGUGGUCACUGACCACUGUCCGAGAACAAUUCCCCAAAAAUGCUGUGCCGAAACACAAUGGGCACGAGAAACUAUAAAUUACGCAUGUAAUCCACACUCACUCUCU
Molecule: long non-coding RNA, 2187 nt
Organism: Toxorhynchites rutilus septentrionalis
Lineage: Eukaryota; Metazoa; Arthropoda; Insecta; Diptera; Culicidae
Exons: 3
Source: RefSeq, a predicted model, not a curated record